This 420-nucleotide ribosomal RNA is filed under the name uncultured bacterium. RNAcentral's name for it is "bacterial SSU rRNA". It matches the Rfam family "Bacterial small subunit ribosomal RNA", at positions 358 to 775 of the family's 1533-position model. The record is from RNAcentral.
GGAAUAUUGGUCAAUGGCCGGAAGGCUGAACCAGCCAAGCCGCGUGAGGGAAGACGGCCCUACGGGUUGUAAACCUCUUUAGCCGGGGAACAAGGCGCGGGACGCGUCCCGCCGUGAGCGUACCCGGAGAAUAAGCAUCGGCUAACUCCGUGCCAGCAGCCGCGGUAAUACGGAGGAUGCGAGCGUUAUCCGGAUUUAUUGGGUUUAAAGGGUGCGUAGGCGGGUUGUUAAGUCAGUUGUGAAAGUUUGCGGCUCAACCGUAAAAUUGCAGUUGAUACUGGCAUCCUUGAGUACAGUAGAGGUAGGCGGAAUUCGUGGUGUAGCGGUGAAAUGCUUAGAUAUCACGAAGAACUCCGAUUGCGAAGGCAGCCUGCUGGACUGUAACUGACGCUGAUGCUCGAAAGUGUGGGUAUCAAACAG